RNAcentral lists this ribosomal RNA (510 nucleotides) under uncultured bacterium. Its description in RNAcentral is "partial 16S ribosomal RNA". The record is from RNAcentral.
GGAGUUAGCCGGUGCUUCUUCUGUGAGUGAUGUCCUUCCUGCCGGCUAUUAACCCGCAGGCCUUCUUCCUCACUGAAAGUGCUUUACAACCCGAAGGCCUUCUUCACACACGCGGCAUGGCUGGAUCAGGGUUGCCCCCAUUGUCCAAUAUUCCCCACUGCUGCCUCCCGUAGGAGUCUGGGCCGUGUCUCAGUCCCAGUGUGGCUGAUCAUCCUCUCAGACCAGCUACGGAUCGUCGCCUUGGUGAGCCGUUACCUCACCAACCAGCUAAUCCGACAUAGGCUCAUCCGAUAGCGCGAGGCCCGAAGGUCCCCCGCUUUCCCCCGUAGGGCGUAUGCGGUAUUAGCCUGGGUUUCCCCAGGUUAUCCCCCACUACCGGGCAGAUUCCUAUGCAUUACUCACCCGUCCGCCGCUCGCCACCAGGGAGCAAGCUCCCCGUGCUGCCGCUCGACUUGCAUGUGUUAGGUCGUCGCCGCCACGCGUCAUCUGAGCCACAAUACAACUACUCGA